Molecule: ribosomal RNA, 917 nt
Filed under: uncultured Flavobacteriaceae bacterium
Lineage: Bacteria; Pseudomonadati; Bacteroidota; Flavobacteriia; Flavobacteriales; Flavobacteriaceae
Description: bacterial SSU rRNA
Rfam family: Bacterial small subunit ribosomal RNA
Source: RNAcentral
CUUACACAUGCAAGUCGAGGGGUAUAGUUCUUCGGAGCUAGAGACCGGCGCACGGGUGCGUAACGCGUAUGCAAUCUACCUUUUACAGAGGGAUAGCCCAGAGAAAUUUGGAUUAAUACCUCAUAGUAUGUGAGAAUCGCAUGGUUUUCACAUUAAAGUCACAACGGUAAAAGAUGAGCAUGCGUCCCAUUAGCUAGAUGGUAAGGUAACGGCUUACCAUGGCAACGAUGGGUAGGGGUCCUGAGAGGGAGAUCCCCCACACUGGUACUGAGACACGGACCAGACUCCUACGGGAGGCAGCAGUGAGGAAUAUUGGACAAUGGGCGCAAGCCUGAUCCAGCCAUGCCGCGUGCAGGAUGACGGUCCUAUGGAUUGUAAACUGCUUUUGUACAGGAAGAAACACUCCCUCGUGAGGGAGCUUGACGGUACUGUAAGAAUAAGGAUCGGCUAACUCCGUGCCAGCAGCCGCGGUAAUACGGAGGAUCCAAGCGUUAUCCGGAAUCAUUGGGUUUAAAGGGUCCGUAGGCGGUUUAAUAAGUCAGUGGUGAAAGCCCAUCGCUCAACGGUGGAACGGCCAUUGAUACUGUUAAACUUGAAUUAUUAGGAAGUAACUAGAAUAUGUAGUGUAGCGGUGAAAUGCUUAGAGAUUACAUGGAAUACCAAUUGCGAAGGCAGGUUACUACUAAUGGAUUGACGCUGAUGGACGAAAGCGUGGGUAGCGAACAGGAUUAGAUACCCUGGUAGUCCACGCCGUAAACGAUGGAUACUAGCUGUUGGGAGCAAUCUCAGUGGCUAAGCGAAAGUGAUAAGUAUCCCACCUGGGGAGUACGUUCGCAAGAAUGAAACUCAAAGGAAUUGACGGGGGCCCGCACAAGCGGUGGAGCAUGUGGUUUAAUUCGAUGAUACGCGAGGAACCU